This 301-nucleotide ribosomal RNA is filed under the name uncultured bacterium. RNAcentral describes it as "partial 16S ribosomal RNA". It matches the Rfam family "Bacterial small subunit ribosomal RNA", at positions 509 to 807 of the family's 1533-position model. The record is from RNAcentral.
CAGUCGCCGCGGGAAUACGUAGGUGGCAAGCGUUGUCCGGAAUUAUUGGGCGUAAAGCGCGCGCAGGUGGUUUAAUAAGUCUGAUGUGAAAGCCCACGGCUCAACCGUGGAGGGUCAUUGGAAACUGUUAAACUUGAGUGCAGGAGAGAAAAGUGGAAUUCCUAGUGUAGCGGUGAAAUGCGUAGAGAUUAGGAGGAGCACCAGUGGCGAAGGCGGCUUUUUGGCCUGUAACUGACACUGAGGCGCGAAAGCGUGGGGAGCAAACAGGAUUAGAUACCCCAGUAGUCCCUGUCUCUUAUAC